CCGGCGACCGGCGCACGGGUGAGUAACACGUAUCCAACCUGCCGAUGACUCGGGGAUAGCCUUUCGAAAGAAAGAUUAAUACCCGAUGGCAUAGUUCUUCCGCAUGGUAGAACUAUUAAAGAAUUUCGGUCAUCGAUGGGGAUGCGUUCCAUUAGCUUGUUGGCGGGGUAACGGCCCACCAAGGCAUCGAUGGAUAGGGGUUCUGAGAGGAAGGUCCCCCACAUUGGAACUGAGACACGGUCCAAACUCCUACGGGAGGCAGCAG
Molecule: ribosomal RNA, 265 nt
Filed under: uncultured bacterium
Lineage: Bacteria
Description: partial 16S ribosomal RNA
Rfam family: Bacterial small subunit ribosomal RNA
Source: RNAcentral